GACGAACGCUGGCGGCGUGCCUAAUACAUGCAAGUAGAACGCUGAAGGAGGAGCUUGCUUCUCUGGAUGAGUUGCGAACGGGUGAGUAACGCGUAGGUAACCUGCCUGGUAGCGGGGGAUAACUAUUGGAAACGAUAGCUAAUACCGCAUAAUAGCAGUUGUUGCAUGACAACUGUUUGAAAGGUGCAAAUGCAUCACUACCAGAUGGACCUGCGUUGUAUUAGCUAGUUGGUGGGGUAAAGGCUCACCAAGGCGACGAUACAUAGCCGACCUGAGAGGGUGAUCGGCCACACUGGGACUGAGACACGGCCCAGACUCCUACGGGAGGCAGCAGUAGGGAAUCUUCGGCAAUGGACGGAAGUCUGACCGAGCAACGCCGCGUGAGUGAAGAAGGUUUUCGGAUCGUAAAGCUCGGUUGUAAGAGAAGAACGAGUGUGAGAGUGGAAAGUUCACACUGUGACGGUAGCUUACCAGAAAGGGACGGCUAACUACGUG
RNAcentral lists this ribosomal RNA (495 nucleotides) under uncultured bacterium. RNAcentral's name for it is "partial 16S ribosomal RNA". It matches the Rfam family "Bacterial small subunit ribosomal RNA", at positions 28 to 507 of the family's 1533-position model. The record is from RNAcentral.